UGGCAGCUCAGAAGUGUCUGGCAGUG
This 26-nucleotide non-coding RNA is filed under the name Homo sapiens (human). Lineage: Eukaryota; Metazoa; Chordata; Mammalia; Primates; Hominidae. The record is from RNAcentral.